UAAGAUGGCUUGGAACUGGUGUU
Molecule: non-coding RNA, 23 nt
Filed under: Arabidopsis thaliana (thale cress)
Lineage: Eukaryota; Viridiplantae; Streptophyta; Magnoliopsida; Brassicales; Brassicaceae
Source: RNAcentral